CCCAGACAGCCAGGAUGUUGGCUUAGAAGCAGCCAUCAUUUAAAGAAAGCGUAAUAGCUCACUGGUCGAGUCGGCCUGCGCGGAAGAUGUAACGGGGCUAAACCAUGCACCGAAGCUGCGGCAGCGACACUGUGUGUUGUUGGGUAGGGGAGCGUUCUGUAAGCCUGUGAAGGUGGCCUGUGAGGGUUGCUGGAGGUAUCAGAAGUGCGAAUGCUGACAUAAGUAACGAUAAAGCGGGUGAAAAGCCCGCUCGCCGGAAGACCAAGGGUUCCUGUCCAACGUUAAUCGGGGCAGGGUGAGUCGACCCCUAAGGCGAGGCCGAAAGGCGUAGUCGAUGGGAAACAGGUUAAUAUUCCUGUACUUGGUGUUACUGCGAAGGGGGGACGGAGAAGGCUAUGUUGGCCGGGCGACGGUUGUCCCGGUUUAAGCGUGUAGGUGUGUGUUCCAGGUAAAUCCGGUUCACUUUAACACUGAGGCGUGAUGACGAGGCACUACGGUGCUGAAGCAACAAAUGCCCUGCUUCCAGGAAAAGCCUCUAAGCAUCAGGUAACAUCAAAUCGUACCCCAAACCGACACAGGUGGUCAGGUAGAGAAUAC
This 597-nucleotide ribosomal RNA is filed under the name Salmonella enterica subsp. enterica serovar Anatum. RNAcentral describes it as "partial 23S ribosomal RNA". It matches the Rfam family "Bacterial large subunit ribosomal RNA", at positions 1084 to 1681 of the family's 2925-position model. The record is from RNAcentral. Lineage: Bacteria; Pseudomonadati; Pseudomonadota; Gammaproteobacteria; Enterobacterales; Enterobacteriaceae.